GAGUUUGAUCCUGGCUCAGGAUGAACGCUAGCGGGAGGCUUAACACAUGCAAGUCGAGGGGUAACAGGAAGAAACUUCGGUUUUUUCGCUGACGACCGGCGGACGGGUGAGUAACGCGUAUGCAACCUGCCUUUUACAGAGGAAUAGCUUUCGGAAACGGAAAUUAAUACCUCAUAACACUACAAGACGGCAUCGUUUUGUAGUUAAAACUACGGUGGUAAAAGAUGGGCAUGCGGAACAUUAGCUAGUUGGUAAGGUAACGGCUUACCAAGGCGACGAUGUUUAGGGGACCUGAGAGGGUGAUCCCCCACACUGGUACUGAGACACGGACCAGACUCCUACGGGAGGCAGCAGUGAGGAAUAUUGGUCAAUGGACGGAAGUCUGAACCAGCCAUCCCGCGUGCAGGAAGACGGCCCUAUGGGUUGUAAACUGCUUUUCUGAAGGAAGAAUAAUUACGAUGUAUCGUAAGACGACGGUACUUCAGGAAUAAGCAUCGGCUAACUCCGUGCCAGCAGCCGCGGUAAUA
This 527-nucleotide ribosomal RNA is filed under the name uncultured bacterium. RNAcentral describes it as "bacterial SSU rRNA". It matches the Rfam family "Bacterial small subunit ribosomal RNA", at positions 9 to 525 of the family's 1533-position model. The record is from RNAcentral.